CAGAAGAAUCAUCUAAGACAGACUGGAGGGCUCUUGUUCUCGAGGGCUGAACCCAAACAUAAACAAGAGAUUGUCAGGUUACUUAAAGAUGAUGGAGAAGUGGUUGCCAUGACUGGAGAUGGAGUCAAUGAUGCUCCUGCCCUGAAGUUGGCUGAUAUUGGUGUCGCUAUGGGCAUUUCUGGAACAGAGGUAGCGAAGGAGGCAUCUGACAUGGUGUUGGCAGAUGAUAAUUUCAGCACAAUUGUUGCAGCUGUUGGUGAAGGCAGGUCCAUCUAUAAUAACAUGAAGGCCUUCAUCAGGUACAUGAUCUCUUCCAACAUCGGUGAG
This is a non-coding RNA of Camelina sativa (false flax), 327 nucleotides long. The record is from RefSeq and is a predicted model, not a curated record. NCBI's taxonomy places the organism in Eukaryota, Viridiplantae, Streptophyta, Magnoliopsida, Brassicales, Brassicaceae.